RNAcentral lists this ribosomal RNA (449 nucleotides) under uncultured Anoxybacillus sp. RNAcentral describes it as "bacterial SSU rRNA". It matches the Rfam family "Bacterial small subunit ribosomal RNA", at positions 933 to 1382 of the family's 1533-position model. The record is from RNAcentral. Lineage: Bacteria; Bacillati; Bacillota; Bacilli; Caryophanales; Anoxybacillaceae.
UGGAGCAUGUGGUUUAAUUCGAAGCAACGCGAGAACCUUACCAGGUCUUGACAUCCCCUGACAACCCGAGAGAUCGGGCGUUCCCCUUCGGGGGACAGGGUGACAGGUGGUGCAUGGUUGUCGUCAGCUCGUGUCGUGAGAUGUUGGGUUAAGUCCCGCAACGAGCGCAACCCUCGACCUUAGUUGCCAGCAUUCAGUUGGGCACUCUAAGGUGACUGCCGGCUAAAAGUCGGAGGAAGGUGGGGAUGACGUCAAAUCAUCAUGCCCCUUAUGACCUGGGCUACACACGUGCUACAAUGGGCGGUACAAAGGGUCGCGAACCCGCGAGGGGGAGCCAAUCCCAAAAAGCCGCUCUCAGUUCGGAUUGCAGGCUGCAACUCGCCUGCAUGAAGCCGGAAUCGCUAGUAAUCGCGGAUCAGCAUGCCGCGGUGAAUACGUUCCCGGGCCUU